CUAACAUUUGUGCAGUGUAAAAAAAUUUACAUAACUUCAGUUCGACAUUGGAUCUUCAAGAAAAGUCUAUCACUUUCUUAAAAAUCGCAUUCGCAUCGGUGAUCCGUAGCGGGUUUUUGGUAUCCAUGGACUGCCGUGUUUGUUUACCAUCAGGCAACUCGCAUGCUCGUUUACCCGCUAUAUGGCAUGUCCUCCGUAAGCUAGCGCCGCGCUGCGGCUGGCGUUGACACGUACCCGACAGACACGGAUUAAGGUUAUCUGCAUCACAAAGCCGAGUCCGCACCGAGCGGCGCUGGAUCUCUGAGGUAGUGUGAACUGCGCUUUACAGCGGCGAAAAUUGAAAAAUACUUCAGGUGGAUUUCGAAACAAGUGAUUGUGAGAGGAUAAGUUUCGUGGUUAUAAGUAGCAUGAAACGUUGCAUAAGAACAAGCACAGCUGAUUGCACAACAUUAAAAGUGUAAGUCCACCGGCAUGGGCCACUUCCAGGGACUUCCACACAGGCGGAUUCAAAGCAGCUUGCGUCCAACGUCUUUCUGCGACUUUUACCAGAUAUGGUACUAAUGGAAGGUAAAAUCUGAAAAUAUGGCGAUUGGCGAUAAAAUGGUACAUAGGUACAAACCAUAUAAGGAGAUCUACAAAAUACAAACUAAAUUUAAU
Molecule: long non-coding RNA, 657 nt
Organism: Plodia interpunctella (Indianmeal moth)
Lineage: Eukaryota; Metazoa; Arthropoda; Insecta; Lepidoptera; Pyralidae
Exons: 4
Source: RefSeq, a predicted model, not a curated record